CAGUAGCCACGGGAAUACGAAGGGGGCUAGCGUUGCUCGGGAUGACUGGGCGUAAAGGGCGCGUAGGCGGCGGCCAAAGUCAGGCGUGAAAUUCCCGGGCUCAACCUGGGGGCUGCGUUUGAUACUUGGUUGCUUGAGUGGGGAAGAGGGUCGUGGAAUUCCCAGUGUAGAGGUGAAAUUCGUAGAUAUUGGGAAGAACACCGGUGGCGAAGGCGGCGACCUGGUCCUUUACUGACGCUGAGGCGCGAAAGCGUGGGGAGCAAACAGGAUUAGAUACCCGUGUAGUCCCUGUCUCUUAUAA
RNAcentral lists this ribosomal RNA (301 nucleotides) under uncultured bacterium. Its description in RNAcentral is "partial 16S ribosomal RNA". It matches the Rfam family "Bacterial small subunit ribosomal RNA", at positions 509 to 809 of the family's 1533-position model. The record is from RNAcentral.